This 462-nucleotide ribosomal RNA is filed under the name uncultured bacterium. RNAcentral describes it as "partial 16S ribosomal RNA". It matches the Rfam family "Bacterial small subunit ribosomal RNA", at positions 28 to 506 of the family's 1533-position model. The record is from RNAcentral.
GAUGAACGCUGACAGAAUGCUUAACACAUGCAAGUCUUUGGCGAAGCUGUGCUUGCACAGCCUAGCCAAGGCGGACGGGUGAGUAACGCGUAAGGAACUUGCCCUGCAGUCAGGGAUAACAGACGGAAACGACUGAUAAGACCUGGUAAAGUCAGGCGGACUCAUGUCCAGCCUGAUGAAAAGUGAUGCUGCAGGAGAGCCUUGCGUCCUAUUAGCUUGUUGGUGGGGUAACGGCCCACCAAGGCGAUGAUAGGUAGCCGGCCUGAGAGGGUGGACGGCCACAAGGGGACUGAGAUACGGCCCUUACUCCUACGGGAGGCAGCAGUGGGGAAUAUUGGACAAUGGGGGCAACCCUGAUCCAGCAAUUCUGUGUGCACGAUGAAGGUUUUCGGAUUGUAAAGUGCUUUCAGCAGGGAAGAAAAAAAUGACGGUACCUGCAGAAGAAACGACGGCUAAAUACGU